This 158-nucleotide ribosomal RNA is filed under the name Chaetomium globosum. RNAcentral's name for it is "5.8S ribosomal RNA". The stretch from base 1 to 130 matches the Rfam family "5.8S ribosomal RNA", at positions 25 to 154 of the family's 154-position model. Rfam says of the family: 5.8S ribosomal RNA (5.8S rRNA) is a component of the large subunit of the eukaryotic ribosome. Lineage: Eukaryota; Fungi; Ascomycota; Sordariomycetes; Sordariales; Chaetomiaceae. The record is from RNAcentral.
UUCUGGCAUCGAUGAAGAACGCAUCUGAAUGCGAUAAAUAAUGUGAAUUGCAGAAUUCAGUGAAGCAUCUUAUCUAUGAACGCGCAUUGCGCCCGCCAUCAUUCUGGCGGGCAUGCCUGUUCGAGCUGGAUUUCAAGCAUGAAGCCCCCGGGCUUGUG